Molecule: ribosomal RNA, 492 nt
Filed under: uncultured bacterium
Lineage: Bacteria
Description: partial 16S ribosomal RNA
Rfam family: Bacterial small subunit ribosomal RNA
Source: RNAcentral
AGUGAACGCUGGCGGUAGGCCUAACACGUGCAAGUCGAACGGCAGCACAGUAAGAGCUUGCUCUUACGGGUGGCGAGUGGCGGACGGGUGAGGAAUACAUCGGAAUCUACUUUUUCGUGGGGGAUAACGUAGGGAAACUUACGCUAAUACCGCAUACGACCUACGGGUGAAAGCAGGGGAUCUUCGGACCUUGCGCGAUUGAAUGAGCCGAUGUCGGAUUAGCUAGUUGGCGGGGUAAAGGCCCACCAAGGCGACGAUCCGUGGCUGGUCUGAGAGGAUGAUCAGCCACACUGGAACUGAGACACGGUCCAGACUCCUACGGGAGGCAGCAGUGGGGAAUAUUGGACAAUGGGCGCAAGCCUGAUCCAGCCAUACCGCGUGGGUGAAGAAGGCCUUCGGGUUGUAAAGCCCUUUUGUUGGGAAAGAAAAGCAGCAGGUUAAUACCCCGCUGUUCUGACGGUACCCAAAGAAUAAGCACCGGCUAACUUCGUG